AUUGAACGCUGGCGGCAGGCCUAACACAUGCAAGUCGAGCGGAUGAAGGGAGCUUGCUCCUGGAUUCAGCGGCGGACGGGUGAGUAAUGCCUAGGAAUCUGCCUGGUAGUGGGGGAUAACGUCCGGAAACGGGCGCUAAUACCGCAUACGUCCUGAGGGAGAAAGUGGGGGACCUUGGACCCUACGCCUACAGAUGAGGCUAGGUCGGAUUAGCUAGUUGGUGGGGUAAAGGCCUACCAAGGCGACGAUCCGUAACUGGUCUGAGAGGAUGAUCAGUCACACUGGAACUGAGACACGGUCCAGACUCCUACGGGAGGCAGCAGUGGGGAAUAUUGGACAAUGGGCGAAAGCCUGAUCCAGCCAUGCCGCGUGUGUGAAGAAGGUCUUCGGAUUGUAAAGCACUUUAAGUUGGGAGGAAGGGCAGUAAGUUAAUACCUUGCUGUUUUGACGUUACCAACAGAAUAAGCACCGGCUAACUUCGUG
Molecule: ribosomal RNA, 483 nt
Filed under: uncultured bacterium
Lineage: Bacteria
Description: partial 16S ribosomal RNA
Rfam family: Bacterial small subunit ribosomal RNA
Source: RNAcentral